GACGAACGCUGGCGGCGUGCCUAAUACAUGCAAGUAGAACGCUGAAGAGAGGAGCUUGCUCUUCUUGGAUGAGUUGCGAACGGGUGAGUAACGCGUAGGUAACCUGCCUUGUAGCGGGGGACAACUAUUGGAAACGAUAGCUAAUACCGCAUAACAAUGGAUGACCCAUGUCAUUUAUUUGAAAGGGGCAAAUGCUCCACUACAAGAUGGACCUGCGUUGUAUUAGCUAGUAGGUGAGGUAACGGCUCACCUAGGCGACGAUACAUAGCCGACCUGAGAGGGUGAUCGGCCACACUGGGACUGAGACACGGCCCAGACUCCUACGGGAGGCAGCAGUAGGGAAUCUUCGGCAAUGGGGGCAACCCUGACCGAGCAACGCCGCAUGAGUGAAGAAGGUUUUCGGAUCGUAAAGCUCUGUUGUAAGUCAAGAACGAGUGUGAGAGUGGAAAGUUCACACUGUGACGGUAGCUUACCAGAAAGGGACGGCUAACUACGUG
RNAcentral lists this ribosomal RNA (497 nucleotides) under uncultured bacterium. Its description in RNAcentral is "partial 16S ribosomal RNA". It matches the Rfam family "Bacterial small subunit ribosomal RNA", at positions 28 to 507 of the family's 1533-position model. The record is from RNAcentral.